UGGCUCAGUUGGUAGAGCGUGGUGUUUGCAAUGCCAGCAUGGUGUGUGCAACGCCAGGGUUGUGGGUUCGAUUCCCAC
This is a non-coding RNA of Salmo salar (Atlantic salmon), 78 nucleotides long. NCBI's taxonomy places the organism in Eukaryota, Metazoa, Chordata, Actinopteri, Salmoniformes, Salmonidae. The record is from Rfam.